ACAGUUUUGGGCAAACGUUUCCCGCGCAAGUUUGAUUCUCUCUCAGUCAGUCAGGGGGAGAUUAAUUGCCUGACUGUCUACACGCCACCAAACAGUCAGUUAUACAGAAACCUUUUUAAGUUUAGUUUGAAUCUCUCUCAGUCAGUCAGGAGGAGAUUAACUGACAGACUGUAUAACGUUACACGCCACCAAACAGUCUUACCAAGAAACCUUUUACAGUUUAGCACAAAUGUUUCCCGUGGAAGUUUGAAUCUCUCUCAGUCAGGGGGGAGAUUGACUGACAGACGGUCUACUUGCCACCAAACAGUAAUUUACCCUGAAACCUUUUUAAGUUUAGCGCAAACGUUUCCUGAGCAAGUUUGAAUCUCUCAGUCAGGGGGGAGAUUGACUGACUGACUGACUGUCUACUCGCCACCAAACAGUCAGUUACACAGAGGUAACAAGUAAGGACUAACGUUAACUAACUGUCUGUCUGUCUGCUCUCAACCAAACAGUCAUUCAAGACCUUUUAAAGUUUAUUGCAAACGUUUCCAGCGCAAGUUUGAAUCUCUCUCAGUCAGGGGGGAGAUUGACUGACAGACUGUCUACUGGCCACCAAACAGUAAUCUACACAGAAACCUUUUAAAGUUUAGCACAAACGUUUCCCGCGCAAGUUUGGAUCUUUACCAUUGAGGGUGGCUGACUGUUUUCGACCAACCAUCAUUCACACGCAAAAACUUUAAAGAUAAGUAUGAAUGUGCCCAGAGCAGUUUUCUAUCUUUACCAUUAAGGAGGCUGACUGACUAUCCUCUACCACCCGUCAUUAACACAAGAAAAACUAAAGAAAUGUUACUCCAUAUGGACCUAUUCAUUUACUCAUUAUGCUGUGAGUACACCACAGUUUUAUCAGGGAAAAAUUUAUAUUUGUGUGUUUCUCACUGCUUGACAAGGACAGAUGUGGCCCUGUUAAAAAUGUUUAAAUGUCGUUUGGUUUAAGGAACAGCACACUGAAUUUGUUUUAAAAUAUUCCUGUUUGGACAGUCUGUUAAAGUCAUAAAGGAACACUUGAUAUAUUUCAUAAGUAAAGUGUAAAUGUAAUAUUAGUUUUUAAUGUUGUGAAUUUGGACUGAACAGCACACUUCUGUUUUAUAUCUAAACCUUUUUUAAAAUAAAUGAUUGUUGAAUAAACUCACUGUGUAUUUUAUCUUUUCUGUUAUCAUUUUUUUAUACUAAUGUUUAAAAUGUACCUUUACACUAAACGAUUGGCUACACCAACACAAAUA
This is a non-coding RNA of Paramisgurnus dabryanus, 1262 nucleotides long. NCBI's taxonomy places the organism in Eukaryota, Metazoa, Chordata, Actinopteri, Cypriniformes, Cobitidae. The record is from RefSeq and is a predicted model, not a curated record.